Molecule: long non-coding RNA, 530 nt
Filed under: Ananas comosus (pineapple)
Lineage: Eukaryota; Viridiplantae; Streptophyta; Magnoliopsida; Poales; Bromeliaceae
Description: long non-coding RNA (ACOM_LNC039266)
Source: RNAcentral
UAAGUUUUUAUGUUUAUUUUUGCUUACAAAUCAUAUUAUCUCCAUUAUAUAAUAAUUUGAUUGUGUUGGGAAUUUUGAUAGAUUUGUUUAUAUUCGGGUUUAGAAUUUUUGAAAUGAUUAACUAUUACGCAGCCUAACUCUUUACUUAGCGAAAUCUAAUGGAUUUGUUGGAAUUUGUUUGCUAAAUAUAUUUUCUAUUGUUUCUGAUUAAAUCUACGCGUUAUUACCUAUAUAAUAAGACAUCUAUAUAAAGUUCUCGAAAAUAAAUGUGGUUCGAUACCUAUCGUGACGCUUCAGUGUUAGAAAUUAGAAUAUUCAAAAAAAAAAAUUUCUUCAUACUUUUCAAUACACUUUAAAUUUACUAAAACUUUUAAAGUAGAUGUGUUCUACUCUCUACAAAAUAACUUAUAGAAUAAAUUUUAAAAGAUUAUAAUAUAUCUACCCGCCACAUCGCGCGGGUCACUACACUAGUUAACUUGAUUUCAUUAAGUCUUUCUUAAUUAAAUUUUUUGUCAUAUAUCCUAUAAAAC